This 417-nucleotide ribosomal RNA is filed under the name uncultured bacterium. RNAcentral describes it as "bacterial SSU rRNA". It matches the Rfam family "Bacterial small subunit ribosomal RNA", at positions 355 to 787 of the family's 1533-position model. The record is from RNAcentral.
UAGGGAAUAUUGCACAAUGGGGAAGACCCUGAUGCAGCGACGCCGCGUGAAGGAAGAAGUAUCUCGGUAUGUAAACUUCUAUCAGCAGGGAAGACAAUGACGGUACCUGACUAAGAAGCCCCGGCUAACUACGUGCCAGCAGCCGCGGUAAUACGUAGGGGCAAGCGUUAUCCGGAUUUACUGGGUGUAAAGGGAGCGUAGACGGAUCUGCAAGUCUAGAGUGAAAGCCCGGGGCUCAACCCCGGGAGCUGCUUUGGAAACUGUAGGUCUAGAGUGCCGGAGAGGUAAGCGGAAUUCCUAGUGUAGCGGUGAAAUGCGUAGAUAUUAGGAGGAACACCAGUGGCGAAGGCGGCUUACUGGACGGUAACUGACGUUGAGGCGCGAAAGCGUGGGGGAGCAAAACAGGAUUAGAUACCC